AACGAACGCUGGCGGCGUGCUUAACACAUGCAAGUCGAACGGGUUCAUAAUGAGUAGCAAUACUUGAUAUGAAUUAGUGGCGGACGGGUGAGUAACACGUAGGUAACCUACCCUUGAGCGGGGGACAACCCAGGGAAACUUGGGCUAAUACCCCAUAAGACCACGGGGUGUGAAUCUUGUGGUAAAAGUAGCGAUACGCUCAUGGACGGGCCUGCGGCCUAUCAGGUAGUUGGUGAGGUAACGGCCCACCAAGCCAAAGACGGGUAGCCGGGCUGAGAGGUUGAACGGCCACACUGGAACUGAGACACGGUCCAGACUCCUACGGGAGGCAGCAGUGGGGAAUAUUGCACAAUGGGGGAAACCCUGAUGCAGCGACGCCGCGUGGAGGAUGAAGGUCUUCGGGUUGUAAACUCCUUUUAUUGGGAAAGAUGAUGACGGUACCCAAUGAAUAAGCCACGGCUAACUCUGUGCCAGCAGCCGCGGUAAGACAGAGGUGGCGAGCGUUGUUCGGAAUUACUGGGCUUAAAGGGCGAGUAGGCGGUGGGACAAGUCUGAUGUGGAAUCUUAGGGCUUAACCCUAAAACUGCAUUAGAAACUG
This 598-nucleotide ribosomal RNA is filed under the name uncultured Magnetobacterium sp. RNAcentral's name for it is "bacterial SSU rRNA". It matches the Rfam family "Bacterial small subunit ribosomal RNA", at positions 28 to 635 of the family's 1533-position model. The record is from RNAcentral. Lineage: Bacteria; Pseudomonadati; Nitrospirota; Thermodesulfovibrionia; Thermodesulfovibrionales; Magnetobacteriaceae (SeqCode).